AAGCUCGUAGUUGAAUUUCGGGAUUAGUACGUCGGUCGUGCCUUAGGUACGUACUGGUGUUACUGGUUCCUACCUUCUGACGAACCAUCAUGUCAUUAAUUUGGUGUGGUGGGGAAUCAGGACUGUUACUUUGAAAAAAUUAGAGUGUUUAAAGCAGGCUCGCGCUUGAAUACAUUAGCAUGGAAUAAUGAAAUAGGACGUUGAUCCUAUUUUGUUGGUUUCUAGGAUUGACGUAAUGAUUAAUAGGGAUAGGUUGGG
This 258-nucleotide ribosomal RNA is filed under the name uncultured Glomus. RNAcentral describes it as "partial 18S ribosomal RNA". It matches the Rfam family "Eukaryotic small subunit ribosomal RNA", at positions 624 to 887 of the family's 1831-position model. Lineage: Eukaryota; Fungi; Glomeromycota; Glomeromycetes; Glomerales; Glomeraceae. The record is from RNAcentral.